This is a long non-coding RNA of Hippocampus comes (tiger tail seahorse), 159 nucleotides long. RefSeq lists it as uncharacterized. The transcript has 2 exons. The record is from RefSeq and is a predicted model, not a curated record. NCBI's taxonomy places the organism in Eukaryota, Metazoa, Chordata, Actinopteri, Syngnathiformes, Syngnathidae.
GGCGACUGCCCCGACACGCUGCAACUGGAGGUUGCGGUAAACUGGACAGUGGAACAGGUGAAGGCACAAGUGUGGCUGAAUGCGAUGACAUCCAACCUCUGUCCAGAAUUCUACCAGCGGUUUUCUCCUGACCACUGCAUACUACUCUACCAGAAAAAA